Haliotis rufescens (red abalone) is the source of this 336-nucleotide long non-coding RNA. RefSeq lists it as uncharacterized. The record is from RefSeq and is a predicted model, not a curated record. The transcript is spliced from 3 exons. Lineage: Eukaryota; Metazoa; Mollusca; Gastropoda; Lepetellida; Haliotidae.
CUUCGGAUGUCGAGGCAUAUUUUAGGUACCGGUUAGCUGUAGAUAAUGAAGAGACUGGAGAUUUGAAGGCUAUUGAGAAGGGACAUCAACUUUUGAAAUCCAAUCAUGUCCUGGCUUGCAGUGUUGUCAUUCAUCACCAUGCCUACUUCAGUGGUCUAGUCAGUGCUGCUAUGAAGAAAAAGGUAUCUUACAGUCUUCGCAUCAUAAUAGCAGAAUGUGGUGAAGUGGUGAACACACACUGUGAGUGCCCAGCUGGUAAAGGCCCCCAUGGAACCUGCAAACACCUCGCUUCCGUCCUCCUCAUGUUGUCACAGUUCAAGUCUACAGGUGUGAUUG